CCUACGGGAGGCUGCAGUGGGGAAUAUUGGACAAUGGGGGCAACCCUGAUCCAGCCAUGCCGCGUGUGUGAAGAAGGCCCUCGGGUUGUAAAGCACUUUCAGUGAGGAAGAACGCCUGGUGGUUAAUACCCAUCAGGAAAGACAUCACUCACAGAAGAAGCACCGGCUAACUCCGUGCCAGCAGCCGCGGUAAUACGGAGGGUGCGAGCGUUAAUCGGAAUUACUGGGCGUAAAGCGCGCGUAGGUGGCUUGAUAAGCCGGUUGUGAAAGCCCCGGGCUCAACCUGGGAACGGCAUCCGGAACUGUCAAGCUAGAGUGUAGGAGAGGAAGGUAGAAUUCGCGGUGUAGCGGUGAAAUGCGUAGAGAUCGGGAGGAAUACCAGUGGCGAAGGCGGCCUUCUGGACUGACACUGACGCUGAGGUGCGAAAGCGUGGGUAGCAAACAGGAUUAGAUACCCGAGUAGUC
This 465-nucleotide ribosomal RNA is filed under the name Vreelandella stevensii. RNAcentral's name for it is "partial 16S ribosomal RNA". It matches the Rfam family "Bacterial small subunit ribosomal RNA", at positions 338 to 795 of the family's 1533-position model. The record is from RNAcentral. Lineage: Bacteria; Pseudomonadati; Pseudomonadota; Gammaproteobacteria; Oceanospirillales; Halomonadaceae.